UCGACUUUGGCCGACUGCUGCUUGUCCGAACCUGAACACUUAGCUCAACCUCAGUCUCUAGUGAUACACUUCCAAGUUCCAACCAAUGCGACAUCUCAAUCUCAAAAUGAUAAACGUGGUAGCCGUAGGCCUCGUCCUGUGCACCCUGGCCGCCGCGGGCGUCUGGUCGCCGGCUCCUCCGCCGCCAGCGGCACAGCAGCACGCCGGCGCCGAGCAUGUCGUCCGGGAGGGCCGCCGCGUCGUCAUCGUCGAGUACGAGCGCGAGCUCCCGCUCUCCCCGGGCGACGACAGCAGCACCGGUGUCGUCAAAGAGAGACACGUCAUCACGCCACCUCACGCCCUCCACGGUGGCCAGACGAACGGCGCGGUCUCUGACGCGGCCGACAAGGCGGCCGGCGUGGCGGAGGAAGGCAAGGAGAAGCUGUCCGAGGCCAAGGAGAGCGCCACGGGCAAGGUGUUCGGCGCGGUGAAGCGCUGCAAGGACAGGCUCUGCGGCGCGGCCAAGGGCGCGGAAGAAGGGGCCUCGCGCGUCAAGCAUGGCGCCGAGGACGCGGCCAAAGGCGCCGGGGAGGCGCUCUCGGAUGCCAAGGACAGAGCGGAGCACAAGGUGUUCGACGCUGCGUCGGGGGCCAAGGAGACCGCGAGGAGCGCCAAGGACAGAGUCUCCGAAGCAGCCGGUGAAGCCAAGGAGAAGAUCAAGGAUGGCGCUGCUGAAACCGCGAAGAGUGCCAAGCACAAGGUGUCCGAAGCGGCCGGUGAAGCCAAGGAGAAGGCGUCACGCGCCAAAGACGUUGCUGCUGAGACCGUGACGAGCGCCACGGGCAAGGUCUCUGAAGCGGCCGGUGAAGCCAAGGAGAAGGCGUCUCGCGCCAAAGACGUCGCGGCUGAGACCGUCACGAGCGCCACGGGCAAGGUCUCCGAAGCGGCCAGGAACGCCAAGGACAGCGCCAAGGAGACCGCCAUGAACGCCAAGGACAAGGUCUCCGGCAUGGCGGAGCGGGCCGAAGAUUACGCGCAAGACGCUGCCGGGACCGCGGCCGAGAAGGUGGCGCAUGCCGAGGAGGUCGCCAAGGCGAAGGCCGGCGAGGUGAGCAAGAACCUGACCGACAUCGUUCGGCGCGCCCGCGACGUGGCGUCCGACGCCGCCGUGUACCUCCUGGGCGCGCCCAUGGAGGCCGCGCGGACGGCGACGGCGGUGAUGCACCUGCUGGGCUUCGCCACGGCCUACGGCGCGUGCGUGUGGGUGACGUUCGUGUCCAGCCACGUCCUGGCCGCGGCGCUGCCGCGGCAGCAGCUGGGCGUGCUGCAGAGCAAGUUGUACCCGGUGUACUUCCGCGCCAUGGCCUACGGCGUCGGCCUGGCGCUCGCGGCGCACCUGCUCGGCCGCGAGCGGAGCUCCCUCGCGUCGCGCGCGCAGAGCUUCAACCUGCUCGGCGCGCUGGGGCUCGUCCUCGCCAACAUGCUGCUCCUCGAGCCAAAAGCCACCAAAGUGAUGUUCGAGAGGAUGAAAGUGGAGAAGGAGGAAGGCAGAGGAAGGGACAUGUCCGACGUCGUCGACACGCCGGCGGUCACCGUGGCCACGACGGCCCCCACAACCACAACCACGACGGCCACGGCCACCCCUAUGUCAGCAGCAGCUACCCGCGUCCUGCUGGACGACGCGAGAGCAGCCAAGGCGGCGAAGGCCACGGCGGGGGACGCGGAGAUGGCCAAGAGCAAGGUGGUGAGGCUGAACAAGCGGCUGAAGCAGCUCAACAGCUACUCGUCCCUGUGCAACGUGCUGUCCCUGAUGGCACUGACAUGGCACCUCGUGCACCUGGCUCGCCGCCUCCAGACGAGCACCGCUUGCUAGGCUCGAUCUGGGCGUCAGGGCCCAUUGUCCACGGGAAAUCUUGCUUCUAGUUCUGCGUUUCGGCGCUGCAUGCUCGCUGAUGGCCUCAAUGUUGUAAGCUUGCUCGCUGAUGGCCUCAAUGGGCUGGAGCAGCACGGAUCGGACGAUGCAGUCUUGUGCGGCUGUGCUUUGAUUGACCAUGACAGGCGAAUCAACACGUCCAUAGGCAUAAUAAGAUGAUAAGAUGGUGCCCCAAAGGAAGGACUACAAAUGCAAAUUUUUCUUUCUUUUUCUUAUAUGUUUUGUCAAACCUAAUCAAAUGGGCUAGCUCCGGGAGAAAACCUUGGUUCGAUUU
Brachypodium distachyon (stiff brome) is the source of this 2186-nucleotide RNA transcript. RefSeq lists it as uncharacterized. The record is from RefSeq and is a predicted model, not a curated record. Lineage: Eukaryota; Viridiplantae; Streptophyta; Magnoliopsida; Poales; Poaceae. The transcript is spliced from 3 exons.